Molecule: small nuclear RNA, 109 nt
Filed under: Cavia porcellus (domestic guinea pig)
Lineage: Eukaryota; Metazoa; Chordata; Mammalia; Rodentia; Caviidae
Description: U2 spliceosomal RNA
Rfam family: U2 spliceosomal RNA
About the family: U2 is a small nuclear RNA (snRNA) component of the spliceosome (involved in pre-mRNA splicing). Complementary binding between U2 snRNA (in an area lying towards the 5' end but 3' to hairpin I) and the branchpoint sequence (BPS) of the intron results the bulging out of an unpaired adenosine, on the BPS, which initiates a nucleophilic attack at the intronic 5' splice site, thus starting the first of two transesterification reactions that mediate splicing.
Source: Rfam by way of RNAcentral
AUGGCUUCUCAGUCUUUUGGCUAAGAUCAAAUGUAGUUUCUGUUCUUAUCAGUUUAAUAUCUAAUAUGUCCUCUAUCUAAAAUGUGUAACAUUUUUUCAUAAAACUCAU